Mustela putorius furo (domestic ferret) is the source of this 104-nucleotide small nucleolar RNA. The record is from Ensembl. Lineage: Eukaryota; Metazoa; Chordata; Mammalia; Carnivora; Mustelidae.
AUUAGUAUGUAGCUCAGAAGUGUGAUGAUUAGGUGUCCAUGCUGUUGUGUAACUUUUGUCUCCCUCAAACCUUGUUGUGACAUCAGCAUAUUACCUGUCUGACA